RNAcentral lists this ribosomal RNA (460 nucleotides) under uncultured bacterium. RNAcentral describes it as "partial 16S ribosomal RNA". It matches the Rfam family "Bacterial small subunit ribosomal RNA", at positions 338 to 795 of the family's 1533-position model. The record is from RNAcentral.
CCUACGGGAGGCAGCAGUGAGGAAUAUUGGUCAAUGGGCGCUAGCCUGAACCAGCCAAGUAGCGUGAAGGAUGACUGCCCUAUGGGUUGUAAACUUCUUUUAUAUGGGAAUAAAGUGCAGUAUGUAUACUGCUUUGCAUGUACCUUAUGAAUACGGAUCGGCUAACUCCGUGCCAGCAGCCGCGGUACUACGGAGGAUCCGAGCGUUAUCCGGAUUUAUUGGGUUUAAAGGGAGUGUAGGCUGGUUGUUAAGUCAGUUGUGAAAGUUUGCGGCUCAACCGUAAAAUUGCAGUUGAUACUGGCAGCCUUGAGUACAGUAGAGGUAGGCGGAAUUCGUGGUGUAGCGGUGAAAUGCUUAGAUAUCACGAAGAACUCCGAUUGCGAAGGCAGCCUGCUGGACUGUAACUGACGCUGAUGCUCGAAAGCGUGGGUAUCAAACAGGAUUAGAUACCCUUGUAGUC